This 462-nucleotide ribosomal RNA is filed under the name uncultured Bacteroidota bacterium. RNAcentral describes it as "bacterial SSU rRNA". It matches the Rfam family "Bacterial small subunit ribosomal RNA", at positions 920 to 1382 of the family's 1533-position model. The record is from RNAcentral. Lineage: Bacteria; Pseudomonadati; Bacteroidota.
CCCGGCACAAGCGGAGGAGCAUGUGGUUUAAUUCGAUGAUACGCGAGGAACCGUUACCUGGGCUUAAAUGCUUAAUGACGUACUGGGAAACUGGUAUUUCUUCGGACAUUUUGCAAGGUGCUGCAUGGUUGUCGUCAGCUCGUGCCGUGAGGUGUCGGGUUAAGUCCCAUAACGAGCGCAACCCCUAUUGUUAGUUGCCAUCAGGUCAUGCUGGGGACUCUAACAAAACUGCCCGCGUAAGCGUGGAGGAAGGUGGGGAUGACGUCAAAUCAGCACGGCCCUUACGUCCAGGGCUACACACGUGCUACAAUGGCCGGUACAGAGGGCAGCCACUUGGUGACAAGGAGCAAAUCUCAAAAGCCGGUCUCAGUUCGGAUCGGAGUCUGCAACUCGACUCCGUGAAGUUGGAUUCGCUAGUAAUCGUAGAUCAGCAAUGCUACGGUGAAUACGUUCCCGGGCCUU